UAGGGAAUCUUCCACAAUGGACGCAAGUCUGAUGGAGCAACGCCGCGUGAGUGAAGAAGGUUUUCGGAUCGUAAAGUGCUGUUGUUGGUGAAGAAGGAUAGAGGCAGUAACUGGUCUUUAUUUGACGGUAAUCAACCAGAAAGUCACGGCUAACUACGUGCCAGCAGCCGCGGUAAUACGUAGGUGGCAAGCGUUGUCCGGAUUUAUUGGGCGUAAAGCGAGCGCAGGCGGAAUGAUAAGUCUGAUGUGAAAGCCCACGGCUCAACCGUGGAACUGCAUCGGAAACUGUCAUUCUUGAGUGCAGAAGAGGAGAGUGGAAUUCCAUGUGUAGCGGUGGAAUGCGUAGAUAUAUGGAAGAACACCAGUGGCGAAGGCGGCUCUCUGGUCUGCAACUGACGCUGAGGCUCGAAAGCAUGGGUAGCGAACAGG
Molecule: ribosomal RNA, 429 nt
Filed under: bacterium
Lineage: Bacteria
Description: partial 16S ribosomal RNA
Rfam family: Bacterial small subunit ribosomal RNA
Source: RNAcentral